AGAAUCAACGCUGGCGGCGUGCCUCAGACAUGCAAGUCGAACGAUUAAAGCUCUCUUCGGAGAGUGUAUAGAGUGGCGCACGGGUGAGUAACACGUAAGUAAUCUACCUUCGAGUGGGGAAUAACAGUCGGAAACGACUGCUAAUACCGCAUAAUGCAGCGGCAUCGCAAGAUGGCAGUUGUUAAAGGAUUUAUUCGCUUGAAGAGGAGCUUGCGGCAGAUUAGCUUGUUGGUAAGGUAACGGCUUACCAAGGCUACGAUCUGUAACCGGUCUAAGAGGACGGUCGGUCACACUGACACUGAAUAACGGGUCAGACUCCUACGGGAGGCAGCAGUCGGGAAUUUUGGGCAAUGGGCGAAAGCCUGACCCAGCAACGCCGCGUGAAGGAUGAAGUAUUUCGGUAUAGUAAACUUCGAAAAGAAAUAGGAAAGAAAUAAAAUGACGGUAACUAUUUAAUAAGGUCCGGACUAACUACGUGCCAGCAGCCGC
Molecule: ribosomal RNA, 489 nt
Filed under: uncultured soil bacterium
Lineage: Bacteria
Description: bacterial SSU rRNA
Rfam family: Bacterial small subunit ribosomal RNA
Source: RNAcentral